RNAcentral lists this long non-coding RNA (207 nucleotides) under Ananas comosus (pineapple). Its description in RNAcentral is "long non-coding RNA (ACOM_LNC039135)". The record is from RNAcentral. Lineage: Eukaryota; Viridiplantae; Streptophyta; Magnoliopsida; Poales; Bromeliaceae.
UAUAACCAUUUUAUAUCUUCUGAUCCCCUCCUCGCUCAUUUUAAUUUUCUUAAAAUCCGUGAUAUUGGAUGCGUUCGAGAACGUAUUUUUAAAUACCAACAUAUCAGAAAUCAUAAGUUAUAAACAUUGAUUGUUCUCCACAAAUUAAAUAGCCAUGCAAAUUCCUGUCCAUUUGUAUAUAAUAAUCUAAACUUUGAAAAAAAUCAU